Molecule: ribosomal RNA, 351 nt
Filed under: uncultured bacterium
Lineage: Bacteria
Description: bacterial SSU rRNA
Rfam family: Bacterial small subunit ribosomal RNA
Source: RNAcentral
GGGCCCGCACAAGCGGUGGAGCAUGUGGUUUAAUUCGAUGAUACGCGAGGAACCUUACCAGGGCUUAAAUGUAAGUUGCAUAGAGUAGAGAUAUUCUUUUCUUCGGACUACUUACAAGGUGCUGCAUGGUUGUCGUCAGCUCGUGCCGUGAGGUGUCAGGUUAAGUCCUAUAACGAGCGCAACCCCUGUUGUUAGUUGCCAGCGAGUCAAGUCGGGAACUCUAACAAGACUGCCAGUGCAAACUGUGAGGAAGGUGGGGAUGACGUCAAAUCAUCACGGCCCUUACGUCCUGGCUACACACGUGCUACAAUGGUAGGUACAGAGAGCAGCCACUGCGCGAGCAGGAGCGAA